GUCCACGCUGUAAACGAUGAACACUAGGUAUUGGAGGAUUUGACCCCUUCAGUGCCGUAGCUAACGCGUUAAGUGUUCCGCCUGGGAAGUACGGUCGCAAGACUAAAACUCAAAGGAAUUGACGGGGGCCCGCACAAGCGGUGGAUUAUGUGGUUUAAUUCGAAGCAACGCGCAGAACCUUACCUAGGCUUGAAAUCCCAUGAAUCCCUUUUAAACGAGGGAGUGCUCUUCGGAGAAUAUGGUGACAGGCGCUGCAUGGCUGUCGU
RNAcentral lists this ribosomal RNA (266 nucleotides) under uncultured bacterium. RNAcentral's name for it is "partial 16S ribosomal RNA". It matches the Rfam family "Bacterial small subunit ribosomal RNA", at positions 793 to 1055 of the family's 1533-position model. The record is from RNAcentral.